This 632-nucleotide long non-coding RNA is filed under the name Brachypodium distachyon (stiff brome). RNAcentral's name for it is "long non-coding RNA (BDIS_LNC005014)". The record is from RNAcentral. Lineage: Eukaryota; Viridiplantae; Streptophyta; Magnoliopsida; Poales; Poaceae.
CCGCGGGGAGCCACCGGCGUGCACGAGCCGGUGGAGGCGGCGGUCGGGGCGCACGACGGAGCCGUGGGUUCGCAGCCGCUGACGUGCACGAGCUGGUGGAGGCGACCAAGAAUGGCGGCGGGCGCUGGCGAGAUCCGGAUCGGGCAGGGGGCGGGGGUGAGAUUCAUAGGUGAUGAGGAGGAGCGAGGAGGGCUCUGUUGUUUUUUUUUCUUUUUUGGGCGGUACAUGUUUUUUCUGUGCUUAAGUACCGCAGGUGCCGGGAUUAAAAGACGCGUUGGGACAGCGGUAGCAGAUUCAUAAUUUCGGUAAAGUGACGUACCGUGACGCCCGGCAUCACCACCAACUCCAAUUUAAUAUAUUGGUAUAAAUUUUACAAACAUGAAGUCCAUCAGGAGGAAUGUUUUGCCACCUGAAGCUAUUUAGGAGAAUUUCUUUCUGCAAUUUUAAGCUCUCUACCAUUCUUACCUUCACAAAUAAGCUAUCAAAAAUCUUUUUAUCACAAAUAUAAUGCAUUCUAUUCGUAAAGAGCAUCUUCACUCGUACCCCAUACGGCGUCCGGCCAUGCAUUUUUUGGGCCAUAUGGGGGAGCGCCGACUAAAAUUUGUGUUUUGGGGUUGAGCCGGUUCCCAGCC